This 460-nucleotide ribosomal RNA is filed under the name uncultured bacterium. RNAcentral's name for it is "partial 16S ribosomal RNA". It matches the Rfam family "Bacterial small subunit ribosomal RNA", at positions 338 to 795 of the family's 1533-position model. The record is from RNAcentral.
CCUACGGGUGGCUGCAGUGAGGAAUAUUGGUCAAUGGGUGCGAGCCUGAACCAGCCAAGUCGCGUGAGGGAGGACGGCCCUACGGGUUGUAAACCUCUUUUGCCGGGGAGCAACGGGCGUCACGUGUGGCGCCCCUGAUAGUACCCGGAGAAAAAGCAUCGGCUAACUCCGUGCCAGCAGCCGCGGUAAUACGGAGGAUGCGAGCGUUAUCCGGCUUUAUUGGGUUUAACGGGUGCGUAGGCGGAUCGUUAAGUCAGUGGUCAAAUUGAGGGGCUCAACCCCUUCCCGCCAUUGAAACUGGCGUUCUUGUGUGGAAGAGAAGUAUGCGGAAUGCGUGGUGUAGCGGUGAAAUGCAUAGAUAUCACGCAGAACCCCGAUUGCGAAGGCAGCAUGCCGGCUUCCGACUGACGCUGAAGCACGAAAGCGUGGGGAUCGAACAGGAUUAGAUACCCGGGUAGUC